AACGAACGCUGGCGGCGUGCUUAACACAUGCAAGUCGCACGAGAAAGCUCUUCGGAGUGAGUAGAGUGGCGCACGGGUGAGUAAUGCAUAGGAACAUGCCCUUAGGUGGGGAAUAACCACGGGAAACUGUGGCUAAUACCGCAUAAUAUCUACGGAUUAAAGAUGGCCUCUUCUUGAAAGCUAUCGCCAAAGGAUUGGCCUAUGUCGCAUUAGCUUGUUGGUAAGGUAACGGCUUACCAAGGCGACGAUGCGUAGCUGGUCUGAGAGGAUGAUCAGCCACACUGGGACUGAGACACGGCCCAGACUCCUACGGGAGGCAGCAGUGGGGAAUUUUGCACAAUGGAGGAAACUCUGAUGCAGCAACGCCGCGUGAAUGAAGAAGGCCCUUGGGUCGUAAAGUUCUUUCGUUAGGGAAGAAGGGUAGAGUAGUUAAUACCUGCUUUAUUUGACGGUACCUAAAUAAGAAGCACCGGCUAAUUUCGUGCCAGCCGCCGCGGUAAAAC
Molecule: ribosomal RNA, 503 nt
Filed under: uncultured bacterium
Lineage: Bacteria
Description: bacterial SSU rRNA
Rfam family: Bacterial small subunit ribosomal RNA
Source: RNAcentral